AGCGAACGCUGGCGGCAUGCUUAACACAUGCAAGUCGCGCGGGCGGGGGCAACUCCGUCAGUGGCGGACGGGUGAGUAACGCGUAGGAAUCUAUCCUUGGAAUGGGGGACAACCGUGGGAAACUACGGCUAAUACCGCAUGAUGCCUGAGGGCCAAAGACGAAAGUCGUUUGAGGAGGAGCCUGCGUCUGAUUAGGUAGUUGGUGGGGUAAAGGCCUACCCAAGCCUACGAUCAGUAGCUGGUCUGAGAGGAUGAUCAGCCACAUUGGGACUGAGACACGGCCCAAACUCCUACGGGAGGCAGCAGUGGGGAAUAUUGGACAAUGGGCGCAAGCCUGAUCCAGCAAUGCCGCGUGGGUGAAGAAGGUCUUCGGAUUGUAAAGCCCUUUUGGCGGGGACGAUGAUGACGGUACCCGCAGAAUAAGCUCCGGCUAACUUCGUG
RNAcentral lists this ribosomal RNA (441 nucleotides) under uncultured bacterium. RNAcentral's name for it is "bacterial SSU rRNA". It matches the Rfam family "Bacterial small subunit ribosomal RNA", at positions 29 to 507 of the family's 1533-position model. The record is from RNAcentral.